UCUAUCUCAAAUUCUCAAUGUGCUUGGCAACGAAACGACAGUCAAUCAUCAACGACAAUUACUCCUAACUAAAACGCUGGAUUCCAUCUCACGUGUCCCUCUUAACAAAUAUGACCUUUUCUCACAUGGAAUUGGAAGCCACUGUUGCGUCUCCUCCUCUUCGCUUCUCUCUUCCUCUACAAAGACUGGGUAUUCAUUCCUUCCUGCACCUUCUUGCCUAGCAAGGCGGACCAAUAAUGAGACGUCGUUAAAGAGGAGAACGCCGGGAGGAGGAUUUGAAGAUCAUGAUGAUAGCCGAUUUGUUAAUCUAUGGGUCCAAAGCUGUCUUUUUUAAUAAUUAUUUUAGAGACCAUUACAUGUCCAUGUUCUUCAAGAUAGAUAGCGAGUGGGAAAAGGGUAGAAUCUUCCUCAUGUGUGUCACCAUACCUGCUUUAAGCACAUCUGCAGCUGCAUCUUCUGGUGUUUUGGCAUAUGUCUGAUUUUCAUGCAUGACAGCUACCGCAUCGCAGUCAGACGUGAUGUAUCUGCUUAUUUUUCAGUUAAAAAAAAUGCAAUAUCAUUUUGUUAAUCCAAAAUGAAAAAAAAAAAAAAUCCUCUAUAUUGUCCUUAUAACCUAGUAGUGGUCUAUUUUGUGUGUUACCCUUGGAAGCCCCAGUAUCCUCUGGCUGUCUUAGACAAUAGAUUGUAAUCUGCACAGUUUGGGAUUCCAUUAACUUGAUUAUAAGAACACAUAAUCCCACUGGCUCUUCCUUCUUGUACGCAACUUUUGAAUGGAGGUUGAAAUGUAUCAGCCAUGUCCUGUUUUGUGACCUAUAUAAUGUGCAGAAACGUAAGUUAAUUCCAUGAAA
Molecule: long non-coding RNA, 848 nt
Organism: Hevea brasiliensis (rubber tree)
Lineage: Eukaryota; Viridiplantae; Streptophyta; Magnoliopsida; Malpighiales; Euphorbiaceae
Exons: 2
Source: RefSeq, a predicted model, not a curated record